GGAGAGGUGUCCGAGUGGUUGAAGGAGCUCGCCUGGAAAGCGGGUGUACGUGCAAAAACGCGUACCGAGGGUUCGAAUCCCUCUCUCUCCG
Molecule: transfer RNA, 91 nt
Filed under: Rhodothermales bacterium
Lineage: Bacteria; Pseudomonadati; Rhodothermota; Rhodothermia; Rhodothermales
Also listed under: 2 other names
Description: tRNA-Ser
Rfam family: tRNA
About the family: Transfer RNA (tRNA) molecules are approximately 80 nucleotides in length. Their secondary structure includes four short double-helical elements and three loops (D, anti-codon, and T loops). Further hydrogen bonds mediate the characteristic L-shaped molecular structure. tRNAs have two regions of fundamental functional importance: the anti-codon, which is responsible for specific mRNA codon recognition, and the 3' end, to which the tRNAs corresponding amino acid is attached (by aminoacyl-tRNA synthetases). tRNAs cope with the degeneracy of the genetic code in two manners: having more than one tRNA (with a specific anti-codon) for a particular amino acid; and 'wobble' base-pairing, i.e. permitting non-standard base-pairing at the 3rd anti-codon position.
Source: RNAcentral